UCAAGCUACAAAGGGCGCAUGGUGAAUGCCUUGGCACUAGGAGCCGAAGAAGGACGCGAUAAGCUGCGAUAAGCCUUGGGUAGCCGCAAAUAGGCUGAGAUCCAGGGAUUUCCGAAUGAGGAAACUCACAUGGGUAACCCCAUGUAUCAUGCACUGAAUACAUAGGUGUAUGAGGGUAAACCCGGGGAACUGAAACAUCUAAGUACCCGGAGGAAGAGAAAGAAAAAUCGAUUUCCUAAGUAGCGGCGAGCGAACGGGAAAGAGCCCAAACCAGAAACUUGUUUCUGGGGUUGUGGAUAGAUCAUGAAAGAAGAGGUAUCUUAAUCGAAGAGGGCUGGAACGCCCUACCAUAGAAGGUAAUAGUCCUGUAGAUAAAAAGAGAAAACUUUAAGAUCUAAUCCAGAGUACCACGAGACACGUGAAACCUUGUGGGAAGCAGGGAGGACCACCUCCAAGGCUAAAUACUACCUAGUGACCGAUAGUGAAGCAGUACCGUGAGGGAAAGGUGAAAAGAACCCCGGAAGGGGAGUGAAAUAGAACCUGAAACCGUGUGCCUACAACCGAUCGGAGCACGUUAAAGUGUGACGAUGUGCUUUUUGUAGAACGAGCCAGCGAGUUACGCUAUGUAGCAAGGUUAAGUACUUAAGGUAUGGAGCCGAAGGGAAACCGAGUCUGAAAAGGGCGAAAAGUUGCAUGGUGUAGACCCGAAACCGGGUGACCUAUCCAUGGCCAGGUUGAAGCGAGAGUAAAAUCUCGUGGAGGACCGAACCACGUUGGUGUUGAAAAACCAUGGGAUGAGCUGUGGAUAGCGGAGAAAUUCCAAUCGAACUCGGAGAUAGCUGGUUCUCCUCGAAAUAGCUUUAGGGCUAGCGUCGUGUAAUUGAGUAAUGGAGGUAGAGCACUGAAUGGGCUAGGGGCUAUAGUAGUUACCGAACCCUAUCAAACUCCGAAUGCCAUAUACUUGUAUCACGGCAGUCAGACUGCGAAUGAUAAGAUCCGUAGUCAAAAGGGAAACAGCCCAGACCAUCAGCUAAGGUCCCAAAGUGUAAGUUAAGUGGAAAGGAUGUGGGAUUUCUAAGACAACUAGGAUGUUGGCUUAGAAGCAGCCACUCAUUUAAAGAGUGCGUAAUAGCUCACUAGUCAAGAGAUCCUGCGCCGAAGAUGUCCGGGGCUCAAACUUACCACCGAAGCUAUGGGUGUACACUAUGUGUACGCGGUAGAGGAGCUUUCUGUAUGGGUUGAAGUCGUACCGUAAGGAGCGGUGGACUGUACAGAAGUGAGAAUGCUGGCAUAAGUAGCGAGAAAUAAGUGAGAAUCUUAUUGGCCGAAAACCUAAGGUUUCCUGAGGAAGGUUCGUCGCUCAGGGUUAGUCGGGACCUAAGCCGAGGCCGAAAGGCGUAGGUGAUGGACAAUCGGUUGAUAUUCCGAUACCACCUAUUUACGUUUGAGAAUGGGGUGACGCAGUAGGAUACCGUACCGCAAACCGACACAGGUAGGUGAGGAGAGAAUCCUAAGGCCAUCGGAAGAAUUGCUGUUAAGGAACUCGGCAAAUUGACCCCGUAACUUCGGGAGAAGGGGUGCCUACGAAAGUAGGCCGCAGAGAAUAGGCCCAAGCAACUGUUUAGCAAAAACACAGGUCUCUGCUAAAGCGAAAGCUGAUGUAUAGGGGCUGACGCCUGCCCGGUGCUGGAAGGUUAAGGGGAACACUUAGCGUAAGUGAAGGUGUGAACUUAAGCCCCAGUAAACGGCGGCCGUAACUAUAACGGUCCUAAGGUAGCGAAAUUCCUUGUCGGGUAAGUUCCGACCCGCACGAAUGGCGUAAUGAUUUGGGCACUGUCUCAACAGCAAAUCCGGCCGAAAUUGUAGUGGCAAAGUGAAGAUGCUUGCUACCCGCGAUUGGACGGAAAGACCCCGUAGAGCUUUACUGUAGCUUAGCAUUGAAUCUCGGUAUUGUCUGUACAGGAUAGGUGGGAGACUUGGAAGCUUGGGCGUCAGCCUGAGUGGAGUCAUCCUUGGGAUACCACCCUGACAGUACUGGGUUCUAACCGGCGGCCAUGAAUCUGGUCACGGGACAUUGUUAGGUGGGCAGUUUGACUGGGGCGGUCGCCUCCUAAAAAGUAACGGAGGCGCCCAAAAGUUCCCUCAGCGCGGUCGGAAAUCGCGCGAAGAGUGCAAAGGCAGAAGGGAGCUUGACUGCGACACAUACAGGUGAGGCAGGGACGAAAGUCGGGCUUAGUGAUCCGGUGGUACCUCGUGGGAGGGCCAUCGCUCAACGGAUAAAAGCUACCUCGGGGAUAACAGGCUGAUCUCCCCCAAGAGUCCACAUCGACGGGGAGGUUUGGCACCUCGAUGUCGGCUCGUCGCAUCCUGGGGCUGAAGUAGGUCCCAAGGGUUGGGCUGUUCGCCCAUUAAAGCGGCACGCGAGCUGGGUUCAGAACGUCGUGAGACAGUUCGGUCCCUAUCCGUCGCGGGCGUAGGAAAUUUGAGAGGAGCUGUCCUUAGUACGAGAGGACCGGGAUGGACCAACCUCUGGUGCACCAGUUGUCACGCCAGUGGCACAGCUGGGUAGCUAUGUUGGGACUGGAUAAACGCUGAAAGCAUCUAAGCGUGAAGCCAACCUCAAGAUGAGAUUUCCCAUAGCGUAAGCUAGUAAGACUCCUGGAAGAACACCAGGUUGAUAGGUCAGAGAUGUAAGCAUGGCAACAUGUUAAGUUGACUGAUACUAAUAAGUCGAGGGCUUGACCAA
RNAcentral lists this ribosomal RNA (2746 nucleotides) under Clostridium botulinum. Its description in RNAcentral is "bacterial LSU rRNA". It matches the Rfam family "Bacterial large subunit ribosomal RNA". Lineage: Bacteria; Bacillati; Bacillota; Clostridia; Eubacteriales; Clostridiaceae. The record is from RNAcentral.